CUCCUACGGGGGGCAGCAGUGGGGGAUAUUGCACAAUGGGCGCAAGCCUGAUGCAGCGACGCCGCGUGAGCGAAGAAGUCAUUCGUGAUGUAGAGCUCUAUCAGCAGGGAAGAAAAUGACGGUACCUGAGUAAGAAGCCCCGGCUAACUACGUGCCAGCAGCCGCGGUAAUACGUAGGGGGCAAGCGUUAUCCGGAUUUACUGGGUGUAAAGGGAGCGUAGACGGCCAGACAAGUCUGAAGUGAAAAUCCAGCGCUUAACGUUGGAAGUGCUUUGGAAACUGCCGGGCUAGAGUGCAGGAGGGGG
This 305-nucleotide ribosomal RNA is filed under the name uncultured bacterium. RNAcentral describes it as "bacterial SSU rRNA". It matches the Rfam family "Bacterial small subunit ribosomal RNA", at positions 336 to 658 of the family's 1533-position model. The record is from RNAcentral.